RNAcentral lists this unclassified non-coding RNA (401 nucleotides) under soil metagenome. RNAcentral describes it as "partial contains 5.8S ribosomal RNA, internal transcribed spacer 2, and large subunit ribosomal RNA". The stretch from base 1 to 121 matches the Rfam family "5.8S ribosomal RNA", at positions 35 to 154 of the family's 154-position model. The record is from RNAcentral.
GAUGAAGAACGUAGCGAAAUGCGAUAAGUAAUGUGAAUUGCAGAAUUCAGUGAAUCAUCGAAUCUUUGAACGCACCUUGCGCCCUUUGGCUAUUCCGAAGGGCAUGCCUGUUUGAGUAUCAUGAACACCUCAACUCUCAUGGUUUGCCAUGGUGAGCUUGGACUUGGGGGUUUUGCUGGCCUUCGGUCGGCUCCUCUCAAACGGAUCAGCUUUCCAGUGUUUGGUGGCAUCACGGGUGUGAUAACUAUCUACGCCUGUGGUUUUCUGCCAGAUAACCUUCAGCGAUGGAGGUUCGCUGGGGCUCAUAAAUGUCUCUCUUCAGUGGAGACAGCUUUUUGGACGUUUGAUCUCAAAUCAGGUAGGACUACCCGCUGAACUUAAGCAUAUCAAUAAGCGGAGGA